GACGAACGCUGGCGGCGUGCCUAAUACAUGCAAGUCGAGCGGACAGAAGGGAGCUUGCUCCCGGAAGUCAGCGGCGGACGGGUGAGUAACACGUGGGCAACCUGCCUGUAAGACUGGGAUAACUUCGGGAAACCGGAGCUAAUACCGGAUAGGUUCUUCCUCCGCAUGGGGGAAGAUGGAAAGACGGUUUCGGCUGUCACUUACAGAUGGGCCCGCGGCGCAUUAGCUAGUUGGUGGGGUAAUGGCCCACCAAGGCGACGAUGCGUAGCCGACCUGAGAGGGUGAUCGGCCACACUGGGACUGAGACACGGCCCAGACUCCUACGGGAGGAAGCAGUAGGGAAUCUUCCGCAAUGGACGAAAGUCUGACGGAGCAACGCCGCGCGAGCGAAGAAGGCCUUCGGGUCGUAAAGCUCUGUUGUUAGGGAAGAACAAGUGCCAGAGUAACUGCUGGCACCUUGACGGUACCUGACCAGAAAGCCACGGCUAACUACGUGCCAGCCGCCGCAGUAA
Molecule: ribosomal RNA, 512 nt
Filed under: uncultured bacterium
Lineage: Bacteria
Description: partial 16S ribosomal RNA
Rfam family: Bacterial small subunit ribosomal RNA
Source: RNAcentral